GGAGAUUUGAUGCACCACACCCCAUUUUUGUGUAUGCAGCAUUUACAUGUGUCUCAAAGGUACAUGUAGCUCUUAAUACAGUUUGUGAGCAAGAGCUGCAUAGUCUUCAUUCACUCAUUAUUUUGCUGCCUGUUUAAUCAAUUCCCUGUACUGAGAAUCUAGGACUAACAAAUAAUAAAGAGAUGAGUUGAAGGAUGGAGAUCUCUGCUCUGUGAGUGGCCUUGGAGUGUGUGCCCCGUGCAUGAAAGGACUGCAUAUGUUUGGUUGGAUUAUCUGAUGUGACUUGUGCUCUCAAUCUGAGCAACACCAGCCAAUACAAACCAGUGCCGAUUGUAGGGGACAGUCACAACGAGGUGUAAUUAAAUUAGAAACCAGCUGGAAAGUAAGUGUAUGGACAAAUGUGACGUGACUGGAAAAUUGCUGUCGUCUCGUAGAACCAAUGCUGAUAUUUGGAAAAAUAAGUUUAAACUGAUCAGCACUGGCUCUACAGUAAAUGUUUUUUAAGUUUGGUACAUGGUAAAAAGGGUUGAUUUAUGCAAUAAAAGUAUUCAGAGUUUUCUAAAAGAAUUUCAUAACUUAUGGUUAAUGGCUUUUUAGGUCUGUAACACGGCUGUCCAGCUGCAGAUUUAUCUAUUGUUUUUGUGUUAGAAAUGGGUUUGGUCAAUAAGAAGGAUAAACAUGACCAGAAGGUAGAUCAGAUCCUGACCACACAGAGCUUGCUCUUGUAUGAGCUCCAUGCUGAUGGAAGAUCCUGACCACACAGAGCUUGCUCCUGUAUGAGCUCCAUGCAGAUGGAAGAUUCGAUCUGGCCCAUACAGAGCUUUCUCCUGUAUGAGCUCCAUGCUGAUGGAAGAUCCGAUCUGGACCACACAGAGAUUGCUUCUUGAAAGGGUAUGUGCUCCAUGCUGAUGGAAGAUCCGAUCUGAACCACACAGAGCUCCGUACUGAUAUAAAUUGAGAAGAUAAAGACAAUGAAUUCUGCCUGUAAAAUACCCAUUACAUUCUAAUUUAAGAGGCCUGUUACUACCUUCUUUUAUUUAUGUGGCAAUGGAAAUUCGAAUGUGGAAAUCAAUAGUGUUCAGUUGGCUUCUAAAAACACAUUAGUGCAGAGAGGGGAGA
Non-coding RNA from Pelobates cultripes (western spadefoot toad), 1119 nucleotides. The record is from the annotation of a GenBank genome assembly. Lineage: Eukaryota; Metazoa; Chordata; Amphibia; Anura; Pelobatidae.